Molecule: ribosomal RNA, 468 nt
Filed under: uncultured bacterium
Lineage: Bacteria
Description: partial 16S ribosomal RNA
Rfam family: Bacterial small subunit ribosomal RNA
Source: RNAcentral
GACGAACGCUGGCGGCGUGCUUAACACAUGCAAGUCGAACGGAAAGGCCCUGCUUUUGUGGGGUGCUCGAGUGGCGAACGGGUGAGUAACACGUGAGUAACCUGCCCUUGACUUUGGGAUAACUUCAGGAAACUGGGGCUAAUACCGGAUAGGAGCUCCUGCUGCAUGGUGGGGGUUGGAAAGUUUCGGCGGUUGGGGAUGGACUCGCGGCUUAUCAGCUUGUUGGUGGGGUAGUGGCUUACCAAGGCUUUGACGGGUAGCCGGCCUGAGAGGGUGACCGGCCGAUUGGGGCCAGGAGUAGGGCCGAGCCUCCUGGGGGGGGCAGAGGGGGGAAAUAGUGCAAAAGGGGGGGAGGUGUGAGGCAGCACCGCCGUGUGGGGGAUGGGGGCUUUGGGUUUGAAACCCUCUUUCGCCUGUGACGAAGGGGGGGGGAGGGUAGGGUGUAAAAAAACCCGGGCAAACUCGGGC